RNAcentral lists this ribosomal RNA (406 nucleotides) under uncultured bacterium. RNAcentral describes it as "partial 16S ribosomal RNA". It matches the Rfam family "Bacterial small subunit ribosomal RNA", at positions 30 to 526 of the family's 1533-position model. The record is from RNAcentral.
AUUGCACGCUGGCGUCAGGCCUAACACAUGCAAGUCGAGCGAGAGGCGGACGGGUGAGUAAUGUAUGGGAAACUGCCUGAUGGAGGGGGAUAACUACCGGAAACGGUUGCUAAUACCGCAUACCAUAAGAUUAACCCAGAUGGGAUGAGCUUGUAGGUAUGGUAACGGCUUACCUAGGCGACGCUCCCUAGCUGGUCUCAGAGGAUGACCAGCCACAGUGGAACUGAGACACGGCCCAGACUCCUACGUGAGGCAGCAGUGGGGAAUAUGGAACAAUGGGCGCAAGCCUGAUGCAGCCAUGCAGCGUGUAUGAAGAAGGCCGUCGGGUUGUAAAGUACUUUCAGUGGGGAGGCGUUACCGACAGAAGAAGCACCGGCUAACUCCGUGCCAGCAGCCGCGGUAAUUC